GUGAAUCAUCAAAUCUUUGAACGCAAAUUGCACUUUCUGGUAUUCCGGAAAGUAUGCCUGUUUGAGGGUCAGUUAAAUAAAAAUCGGUGUUGUUGCUGCUUUUAUUGGGGACGCGUCGGAUUUGAGUUUUCUUCGUUUGGGUUAAUUGACUUAAAAUUUGUCUUGAUUUUCGAACGUAUUUAAUUUUCUUACGUACGUUUGAGAUAUCAAAUACUUUUUUAGGUUGGAUCUUCAUCAUGAUUCGACCCUCUAAUUUUUCUUUAAAU
RNAcentral lists this unclassified non-coding RNA (266 nucleotides) under Glomus sp. RNAcentral's name for it is "partial contains 5.8S ribosomal RNA and internal transcribed spacer 2". The stretch from base 1 to 71 matches the Rfam family "5.8S ribosomal RNA", at positions 84 to 154 of the family's 154-position model. The record is from RNAcentral. Lineage: Eukaryota; Fungi; Glomeromycota; Glomeromycetes; Glomerales; Glomeraceae.